Molecule: small RNA, 107 nt
Filed under: Allochromatium warmingii
Lineage: Bacteria; Pseudomonadati; Pseudomonadota; Gammaproteobacteria; Chromatiales; Chromatiaceae
Description: t44 RNA
Rfam family: t44 RNA
About the family: This family consists of a number of bacterial RNA genes of between 135 and 170 bases in length. The t44 gene is found between the map and rpsB genes in all species in the full alignment apart from Shigella flexneri.
Source: RNAcentral
CUAAACCGAUCCGUCCACACACGCGCCGUCACAGAUCACUGGGUGCCCGAGUGCUUGCACGCUGUGCGCAAAUCGGGUGGUCGUCUGGGGUGCGUGGAGGCCUAACC